Molecule: ribosomal RNA, 484 nt
Filed under: uncultured bacterium
Lineage: Bacteria
Description: partial 16S ribosomal RNA
Rfam family: Bacterial small subunit ribosomal RNA
Source: RNAcentral
AUUGAACGCUGGCGGCAUGCUUUACACAUGCAAGUCGAACGGCAGCGCGGGCUUCGGCCUGGCGGCGAGUGGCGAACGGGUGAGUAAUGCAUCGGAACGUGCCCAGUAGUGGGGGAUAGCCCGGCGAAAGCCGGAUUAAUACCGCAUACGACCUGAGGGUGAAAGCGGGGGACCGAAAGGCCUCGCGCUAUUUGAGCGGCCGAUGUCGGAUUAGCUAGUUGGUGGGGUAAAGGCUUACCAAGGCGACGUUCCGUAGCUGGUCUGAGAGGACGACCAGCCACACUGGGACUGAGACACGGCCCAGACUCCUACGGGAGGCAGCAGUGGGGAAUUUUGGACAAUGGGGGCAACCCUGAUCCAGCCAUGCCGCGUGCGGGAAGAAGGCCUUCGGGUUGUAAACCGCUUUUGUUCGGGAAGAAAUCCUCUGGGCUAAUACCCCGGGGGGAUGACGGUACCGGAAGAAUAAGCACCGGCUAACUACGUG